Long non-coding RNA from Prunus persica (peach), 2671 nucleotides. RefSeq lists it as uncharacterized. The transcript is spliced from 8 exons. The record is from RefSeq and is a predicted model, not a curated record. NCBI's taxonomy places the organism in Eukaryota, Viridiplantae, Streptophyta, Magnoliopsida, Rosales, Rosaceae.
CUCUUUCUCUCGAUCUCUCCGCGACCCAGCCCCCUCCCCCCUUCGAUUUUUCACACAGCGCCGCACCUCCAAACCUCCAUAACCACCGACGCCGACCACCCCAACCCUCGAGACCGGACCCAAAACAUCCGGCCAGACCUCGCCGUCACACCCCGAGCCUUCGCCGCCCCCUUCGGUCUUCCAGGCGCCGGAAUAUGGCGAAAACAAGCCGGUUUUCCCUCGAAUUUCACGGCCGUCGUUCUCCGUCCUCCGGCCACCAAUUUUGGCAAUCAAGAUUCUCAGAAGCUCCUCACCUUCACGACAUUCACAGGCACCUCCAGGAGCUCUUCAACUUCGCAAACUCUUGCACGUUUACUUCUCCAACUCCCAAAGCUUCAAACUUUUCAGCCUUUCAGUUGUGAAUAUGGGGAAGAAGCCCUCGACGAAGAAGUCAACUUCCCAGAAACGCUGCAAAGACAAAGGUGUAACUACGCCGGUGGCGCGGAACAAGGCAGCAAAGGGAAACAACAACCGUUCUGUUGUAACCAGUGAGCGAGGUUCUAGUUCCACAGCAUACCACUCAAAUCCUGUUGAUCACCCUUUGUUUGGCGUGAGGUGACACACACAAGAACCACAACUAAUCGGAUCCUGUGCUACAUGUCAAUGUCACUGACCAUUUAUCUUAUAAGAAUACUUUGACACGCAUUAAGGGAUGAGGAAACAACACACUCUGUGGUUUAUGGUAUCGGCAUGAAUUGCGUCCUCGAGUGCAGGAGAGAGUAGAUUCUGUGGGGUUUUCAAACUUUGCAAUUUUACUUGGAACAAAGGGAAGAAGAGACAAACACCUCCUGAUGGCAUUGGCAGAGCGAUGGUGGGACACAAUAUAUACAUUCCAUUUAGAUGAGCUCGGGGAGCUUACCAUGACCCCAAAGGACUUCAGUUCCAUUACGGGUUUACUCGUAUGUGGGAAGUCUUUAGAGUAUGACAUGGAGGCCCAUACCAAAAUUGAGGAGAUGGUGAGGCUCUUUGGGGACCCCAUUCGAAGCAUCCUUAAUGCCAAUACAGGGACAUUGUUAAUAAGUACAAGAGGUGGAAGCCUCAAACCCCUGAACAAGAAGACCAGUUAACGCGUCUUCAUUCUUGCAGUGCUUGGUAGCAGUUUGUGCAAUGAUAAGAGUGAUUCUGUGUAUUUAUAUUACAUGCCAAGCCUGGUUAAAGUUGAGGAAAUUAAAGACUAUAAUUGGGGAGGGGCUAGAUUGGCAUGCUUGUAUCUAUUAAUGGAUGCUCUUUCUCGAGGGCUAGUGGCAAGCAUAGGAGGUUAUUGGCGAGCAUGGGAGUUUAUAGGUAUGGGCUUGCGAGUACUUGAAGCCACUUGCUUUAACUCGACCAUUGACUGAUGUGGAUUUGUUUCUGCGGGUAUAUCGCUGGUUAUCUGCCCCAGAUGUGCGGGAAACAUCCCACAACUUGGAGCAGUUUAGGACAAUACUCCGAUAUAUCAGUACUGAUCAAGUGAAUUGACAUCCGUGGGGAAUCGAUGAUGCGAACUUACAUUAUUAUGUGAAAAAAGCAUUCCUAUGACAAAAAAAAAAGGAUUCUACUGCAAAGACCAGUCGGGUAUACUUGGUAUUUAGGAGAAAGGGUAUCUAUGCAAAGCUUAGGUACAACAGCUGCGAGCCCCAAAAAGACUCCCUAGAACCAUGCUUAAAGUCAUGAAAGUACUUGCUUCGGACAAAGAAAUUAAAGCAUCACUUAAAGGCUUUAAUGCAGAGGGUUGGUUGGCUGAAUCCACUGAUUAUCUACUCUUUCGAAAUGAGUAUGUCAGAUAUAAGCAUUAUCCAACUGUCAUCAAUAAUAGUGCAAAAGAAGGUGUGUGCUCUGUUGGUUCGAACUUUCAAGCUAGUGAAAUUAAAAUUCCUUCAUGGAGUGUUGAAGUGGUGGGAUGGGGGGACGCAAAUGAUUGUGAAGUGUUGGAUAUCCCAAGAGGCAAGUCUAGCACGUGCCUACCACUCCCGGAGGAUGUGAAAUAUGUAAGUGCAUCGACGGCAACACAACUAUUGGAUAUGAUUAGUGGGCUAAAUUCAUUGCUCUUCAGUAAAUGCAUGGCUGCUAGGACAAUCAUAAGUGAGCUUCGACAGGGGGGACACACUUAACAUAAUCAUAACCCCUUUGCUAGAAAAGAAAUUGCUGAUGCGGAAGAUGACUUUUGUUUUGUAUAUGAGGAUGAUGAGGAGAACGAUAAUGGUUUUCAGACAUCAUGUGAGGAUGGUGAGGAGGAUGAGGAAUACGUGGAGGAUGAGGAGGUCGAGGAAAACAGGGAUGAGGAUGAAAAUGACCAGGAGGGCGAGGAAGAUGAGGUAUUAGUGGAGGAGACCACAACCAAGCCACCACCCCCUAACACCAAAGGAAAAGGAGCUAUGGCGAUUAAAGGAAAAGGCAAAGCAUCACCACAAAAGCGCAAGGCCUCUUUGCCGGAACUAGAACCACACCUAAUUAGUAAGAGGCUAAGGCUAAGGAAGAAAACAUAAAUUGUGUUAUGGGUAUUUUGUCUUUGUAAUAUACGUUGAUAAAAUUGUGAAACGUAAGUGAGAUCAUAUAUUUUGUGGUAGAUGUUAACUGGUAGCUUAUGUAAUUUGUUUGAUGUUACAAACUUAUUAUAUAAUGAUGUCAAAUAUGAUCGUCUAUUGUUGUCUGU